AUUGAACGCUGGCGGCAGGCCUAACACAUGCAAGUCGAACGGUAACAGGAAGAAGCUUGCUUCUUUGCUGACGAGUGGCGGACGGGUGAGUAAUGUCUGGGAAACUGCCUGAUGGAGGGGGAUAACUACUGGAAACGGUAGCUAAUACCGCAUAACGUCGCAAGACCAAAGAGGGGGACCUUCGGGCCUCUUGCCAUCGGAUGUUCCCAGAUGGGAUUAGCUAGUAGGUGGGGUAACGGCUCACCUAGGCGACGAUCCCUAGCUGGUCUGAGAGGAUGACCAGCCACACUGGAACUGAGACACGGUCCAGACUCCUAUGGGAGGCAGCAGUGGGGAAUAUUGCACAAUGGGCGCAAGCCUGAUGCAGCCAUGCCGCGUGUAUGAAGAAGGCCUUCGGGUUGUAAAGUACUUUCAGCGGGGAGGAAGGGAGUAAAGUUAAUACCUUUGCUCAUUGACGUUACCCGCAGAAGAAGCACCGGCUAACUCCGUG
RNAcentral lists this ribosomal RNA (490 nucleotides) under uncultured bacterium. RNAcentral's name for it is "partial 16S ribosomal RNA". It matches the Rfam family "Bacterial small subunit ribosomal RNA", at positions 30 to 507 of the family's 1533-position model. The record is from RNAcentral.